GCACUGCUGAAGAGACACAGCCAAGUCGAAACAGCUGUCCAGUGC
Molecule: non-coding RNA, 45 nt
Organism: Echinostoma caproni
Lineage: Eukaryota; Metazoa; Platyhelminthes; Trematoda; Plagiorchiida; Echinostomatidae
Source: Rfam